UGGGGAAUAUUGGACAAUGGGCGCAAGCCUGAUCCAGCCAUGCCGCGUGAGUGAAGAAGGCCUUAGGGUUGUAAAGCUCUUUCACCGAUGAAGAUAAUGACUGUAGUCGGAGAAGAAGCCCCGGCUAACUUCGUGCCAGCAGCCGCGGUAAUACGAAGGGGGCUAGCGUUGUUCGGAAUUACUGGGCGUAAAGCGCGCGUAGGCGGAUACUUAAGUCAGGGGUGAAAUCCCGAGGCUCAACCUCGGAACUGCCUUUGAUACUGGGUAUCUUGAGUUCGAGAGAGGUAAGUGGAAUUCCGAGUGUAGAGGUGAAAUUCGUAGAUAUUCGGAGGAACACCAGAGGCGAAGGCGGCUUACUGGCUCGAUACUGACGCUGAGGCGCGAAAGCGUGGGGAGCAAACAGGAUUAGAUACCCUGGUAGUCCACGCGGUAAACGAUGGGCACUAGGUGUGGGGGGUAUCCACUCCUCCCGUGCCGCAGCUAACGCAUUAAGUGGCCCGCCUGGGGAGUACGGCCGCAAGGCUA
This 525-nucleotide ribosomal RNA is filed under the name uncultured bacterium. RNAcentral describes it as "bacterial SSU rRNA". It matches the Rfam family "Bacterial small subunit ribosomal RNA", at positions 355 to 896 of the family's 1533-position model. The record is from RNAcentral.